This 588-nucleotide ribosomal RNA is filed under the name uncultured bacterium. Its description in RNAcentral is "partial 16S ribosomal RNA". It matches the Rfam family "Bacterial small subunit ribosomal RNA", at positions 355 to 1375 of the family's 1533-position model. The record is from RNAcentral.
UGGGGAAUUUUGGACAAUGGGCGAAAGCCUGAUCCAGCAAUGCCGCGUGUGUGAAGAAGGCCUUCGGGUUGUAAAGCACUUUUGUCCGGAAAGAAAUCCUUGGCUCUAAUACAGUCGGGGGGAUGACGGUACCGGAAGAAUAAGCACCGGCUAACUACGUGCCAGCAGCCGCGGUAAUACGUAGGGUGCAAGCGUUAAUCGGAAUUACUGGGCGUAAAGCGUGCGCAGGCGAUUUGCUAAGACCGAUGUGAAAUCCCCGGGCUCAACCUGGGAACUGCAUUGGUGACUGGCAGGCUAGAGUAUGGCAGAGGGGGGUAGAAUUCCACGUGUAGCAGUGAAAUGCGUAGAGAUGUGGAGGAAUACCGAUGGCGAAGGCAGCCCCCCUGGGCCAAUACUGACGCUCAUGCACGAAAGCGUGGGGAGCAAACAGGAUUAGAUACCCUGGUAGUCCACGCCCUAAACGAUGUCAACUGGUUGUUGGGGAUUCAUUUCCUUAGUAACGUAGCUAACGCGUGAAGUUGACCGCCUGGGGAGUACGGUCGCAAGAUUAAAAACUUAAAGGAAUUGACGGGGUCAUAGCUGUUUCCU